GGGGCUGAUGGGAGAUCUGAGGCCUCUGAUAGAAACCACGUGUUCCUCGUCUGAUCUCUCAGCUCGUCCUUGUUUGUCCUCUGCAGCGUCACAGCGUCACUUCUCCUCGGGUUCACCAGAGGAAACAUCGCAGCUCCAAAAUGCUUCUCCUCCCAGCCGCCGCCCUGUGCUGCCUGUGUUCAGCGCUGGUUUCCAUGGCAGCCGAGCUGAUUCAGGAUGAUUUAUCAUUGACCAGGAGAGUCGGUGAAGAAGUCUCCUUCAGCUGUGGAGGCACUCAUCAGUGUUACAAUAACUACGUAUACUGGUACCACAAGAAAAACACAGAAACAUUCAGACUGAUUCUUGGUAUUGACAAGAGUAAUGGAGCUUUAGAUAAAAGCUACAAUCAUCCACAGCAAGAUGAUUUCUCAGCUGUGAAAAAGAACGGCUGGGAGCUGCAGAUCAAGAGAGUUAAAAACUCUCAUUCAGCCACAUAUUACUGCUCCUGUUAUGUUAGUGGUCUCCACAGUGAGAAAUGAAGCGAGCUGCCUGAACAAAAACCAACACAUGAACAGAUGUCACUCAGAGUUAGUUACAGGAAGAGAGCAGUGAACCACAGCCCAGGUUCACAUGUUUCACCUCCAUCUCAGCCAGAGUCACAAACACUGAGGGAUUUAUUCUAUCACUGCUGACGGGACGCCUUCAUUUUAAAAUUAUACUUAUCAGGUG
This is a non-coding RNA of Labrus bergylta (ballan wrasse), 708 nucleotides long. The record is from the annotation of a RefSeq genome assembly. Lineage: Eukaryota; Metazoa; Chordata; Actinopteri; Labriformes; Labridae.